RNAcentral lists this ribosomal RNA (487 nucleotides) under uncultured bacterium. Its description in RNAcentral is "bacterial SSU rRNA". It matches the Rfam family "Bacterial small subunit ribosomal RNA", at positions 30 to 507 of the family's 1533-position model. The record is from RNAcentral.
AUUGAACGCUGGCGGCAGGCUUAACACAUGCAAGUCGAGCGGAGAUGAGGUGCUUGCACCUUAUCUUAGCGGCGGACGGGUGAGUAAUGCUUAGGAAUCUGCCUAUUAGUGGGGGGACAACAUUCCGAAAGGAAUGCUAAUACCGCAUACGUCCUACGGGAGAAAAGCAGGGGAUCUUCGGACCUUGCGCUAAUAGAUGAGCCUAAGUCGGAUUAGCUAGUUGGUGGGGCAAAGGCCUACCAAGGCGACGAUCUGUAGCGGGUCUGAGAGGAUGAUCCGCCACACUGGGACUGAGACACGGCCCAGACCCCUUCGGGAGGCAGCAGUGGGGAAUAUUGGACAAUGGGGGGAACCCUGAUCCAGCCAUGCCGCGUGUGUGAAGAAGGCCUUAUGGUUGUAAAGCACUUUAAGCGAGGAGGAGGCUACUGAGACUAAUACUCUUGGAUAGUGGACGUUACUCGCAGAAUAAGCACCGGCUAACUCUGUG